UGGUGGAGUGAUUUGUCUGGUUAAUUCCGAUAACGAACGAGACCCCAACCUGCUAAAUAGUUCGCGCUAACUCACGUUAGCGACGCACUUCUUAGAGGGACAUUUCGGGUUUACCGGAAGGAAGUUUGGGGCGAUAACA
RNAcentral lists this ribosomal RNA (139 nucleotides) under uncultured eukaryote. RNAcentral's name for it is "partial 18S ribosomal RNA". It matches the Rfam family "Eukaryotic small subunit ribosomal RNA", at positions 1299 to 1458 of the family's 1831-position model. The record is from RNAcentral.